AUUGAACGCUGGCGGCAGGCCUAACACAUGCAAGUCGAACGAGUGGCGGACGGGUGAGUAAUGUCUGGGAACCUGCCUGCUGGAGGGGGAUAACUACUGGAAACGGUAGCUAAUCCCGCAUACCAUCGGAUGUGCCCAGAUGGGAUUAGCUAGUAGGUGGGGUAACGGCUCACCUAGGCGACGAUCCCUAGCUGGUCUGAGAUGAUGACCAUCACCACUGGAACGUAGAGACGGUCCAGAGUCCUACGGGAGGCAGCAGUAGGGAAUAUGGCACAAUGGGCGCAAGCCUGAUGCAGCCAUGCCGCUUGUAUGAAGAAGGCCUUCGGGUUGUAAAGUACUUUCAGCGGGGAUGCGUUACCCGCAGAAGAAGCACCGGCUAACUCCGUGCCAGCCGCCGCGGUAAUUC
Molecule: ribosomal RNA, 406 nt
Filed under: uncultured bacterium
Lineage: Bacteria
Description: partial 16S ribosomal RNA
Rfam family: Bacterial small subunit ribosomal RNA
Source: RNAcentral